CACGUGUUUCUGUGCGUCUGUUGUACGUUUGCCUUUGUUCCUUUGCCUCCGCAGUCCGUGUUCCCAACCCUCUUGCAUCUCCUUUUCUGCAGGGGGCCUUGAGCUUUGGGGUGAAUAUACUCAACAUGUGACCCUGAGUUUCUGCUUCAGUGAGUCUGGGGUAGAACCAAGGAAUAGGCACAUCUGCAACCUGAGAUGUUGAUUCUGCGGAUCCAAAAUGCUCUACGGUUGUUUUCAUCAUGAGUUAGAAAUACAGAUAUUGGGUUCAUUGUUGAUGGAGUGUCUGUCUCUCUCCCGAAGUACCUGAUUGGACUUCAGCUGGCCAUGAAUUUGUGAUUGUGCCUUAGCCCUGAGAAGCUGGAAUUACAGGCCUGUGCCAUCAGUUUUAGCUAGGAAUUCUCGAGCAUAGGGCCAUUGAUACUUGAGGUCAGCAAAGCUGAGGAAGACAGGUGUGCACAUGACAGAAAGUUUAUCUGCUUCUUUGGCUUCACCGACUCCAUUAACAGCAUGCCCUGAUUGUGACAACCAAAUAUGGCCCCAGCCACUACAGCCAUGCUCUGCCAUGGAAUCAGUCGAAGAUCUCACGACCUCAGACCUACUUGAAUGUACGUGGACUGACAACAAAACGAUCCUCUUAAAAAGAUCAUCCUCAAGAAAUUCAAGUCGACGUGUCUUCAAGUUUAAAACUCCCACUGCUACCCACGAUUGCUGUUGCCUUAAAUGUAAUCAUUUUUCUGGUUGUCACUUUUUAUGACACUGACAUAUUUGAAGCCCAAAUAAAACCAGUUUUGAACUUU
This is a long non-coding RNA of Mesocricetus auratus (golden hamster), 797 nucleotides long. RefSeq lists it as uncharacterized. The record is from RefSeq and is a predicted model, not a curated record. The transcript is spliced from 5 exons. Lineage: Eukaryota; Metazoa; Chordata; Mammalia; Rodentia; Cricetidae.